UACAGAGGUGGCAAGCGUUGUUCGGAAUUACUGGGCGUAAAGGGCGCGUAGGCGGUCUUGCAAGUCCCGUGUGAAAUCCCUCGGCUCAACUGAGGAACUGCACGGGAAACUGCUUGGCUUGAGUUCGGGAGAGGGAAGCGGAAUUCCGGGUGUAGCGGUGAAAUGCGUAGAUAUCCGGAGGAACACCGGUGGCGAAGGCGGCUUCCUGGACCGACACUGACGCUGAGGCGCGAAAGCGUGGGGAGCAAACAGG
This 253-nucleotide ribosomal RNA is filed under the name uncultured bacterium. RNAcentral describes it as "partial 16S ribosomal RNA". It matches the Rfam family "Bacterial small subunit ribosomal RNA", at positions 524 to 776 of the family's 1533-position model. The record is from RNAcentral.